Molecule: ribosomal RNA, 253 nt
Filed under: uncultured bacterium
Lineage: Bacteria
Description: partial 16S ribosomal RNA
Rfam family: Bacterial small subunit ribosomal RNA
Source: RNAcentral
UACGUAGGGGGCUAGCGUUGUCCGGAAUCAUUGGGCGUAAAGAGCGCGUAGGCGGCCAGAUAAGUCCGGUGUGAAAGUCAAAGGCUCAACCUUUGAAUGCCGCUGGAAACUGUCUGGCUAGAGUCCGGAAGGGGCGAGUGGAAUUCCUGGUGUAGCGGUGAAAUGCGCAGAUAUCAGGAGGAACACCAAUGGCGAAGGCAGCUCGCUGGGACGUCACUGACGCUGAGACGCGAAAGCGUGGGGAGCAAACAGG